RNAcentral lists this unclassified non-coding RNA (267 nucleotides) under Hevea brasiliensis (rubber tree). The record is from RNAcentral. Lineage: Eukaryota; Viridiplantae; Streptophyta; Magnoliopsida; Malpighiales; Euphorbiaceae.
AACUCCCAGCUUUCCUGGGUGCGCGUUGCGGUCGAUACCAGCACGAGGUCCGGCCGAUAGUCGUGCAGGGCAAGCCAUCGCCCCAUCUCCGCGCCGUCAUGCCGGCCGCGCUCGUCGAGACGGCGAUCCUGAUCCCUGCCGGAAGGGGCGUCCCGCUCGGUCUUGGCGUGGCGCAGCAGGAUCAGACGGCGCAUAUCGCGAUCUCGUUUCGGUGGGCGUGGCAAAUGAUGCGAACUUCGGUGGUGAACCACUAGGGCACGGCCCGGA